RNAcentral lists this small nucleolar RNA (135 nucleotides) under Suricata suricatta (meerkat). RNAcentral's name for it is "Small nucleolar RNA SNORA64/SNORA10 family (ENSSSUG00005022665.1)". It matches the Rfam family "Small nucleolar RNA SNORA64/SNORA10 family". Rfam says of the family: This family belongs to the H/ACA class of small nucleolar RNAs (snoRNAs) which act as guides in the the modification of uridines to pseudouridines. This family includes the human snoRNAs U64 and ACA10 and mouse MBI-29. Lineage: Eukaryota; Metazoa; Chordata; Mammalia; Carnivora; Herpestidae. The record is from Rfam by way of RNAcentral.
GCUCUCUCAGCUCUGCACAGUCACAUUUGUUGUUCCACGUGUGGCUUUCGUAAUGGGGAGAGAGAGAAAAGAUCUCCUCGGGACCUCAGAGCGGCCUGGUGGUGGCCACUCUUUUCCUUGAGGGGCGCAACAGGU